Long non-coding RNA from Esox lucius (northern pike), 1114 nucleotides. The record is from Ensembl. Lineage: Eukaryota; Metazoa; Chordata; Actinopteri; Esociformes; Esocidae.
CUUAAACAAAAAUAAUAAUAUCAUCAUAAUUGGCACAAUGCUUUUAUUUUGGAGACGCAAUUCUUGUUCUUGAACUUUUAUUUUGGAAUGGACUCUGCUGAUGGUACCUAGCUUCUCUGCCCCCACCAUCGCAACGACUGACUGCUUGUUUCGCUCAGUUUGGGCCACGCUAAGUGAUUAUGCUAAAUUGCUUGGAUGACUUAUGGGAAAGUACUGUACCGCACAGGAGUUUGUUAUUGGCACAUAGAGUAAAACGUGUAAAUAUAUUUUAACAGCCACGUUAGAACGACAAAUCUGCAAACCUCCUAGCUAAAUAUGGAUAUUACUUUGUUUGCUAGGUACAGUCAUUCUCAAUUUUGCCAACAACACCUAAGAAGAAAAUAGGAGUGCUAAGGAUUCCCUGCAAACAAAACCCAUCAUCCCCGGAGAGAGGCAGCCAUGAUGGUGGCCACUGACAGAAAGAGGCUUUCAAGGAGCUGGAGACAAAAGCCAGUGAACAGCACACACUGACCCCAGAGAGUCCAGAUAAUCCCAUCCCAUUCAAGGCUUUGAACUCUUGCAGGACUGGCAGGCAGAGGGGUUUGCACGCUGAUCUUUCGCAUCAACCAUCACUGCACUACAGACUGCAAAUAAUCGAUACGUAUCAUUUUGAAUGGUGUGACCAGGACCUUGUGACUACAGAGAGAGGGCACCUCUUACCUACACCUGGUUGUAGUGUCAUUGAUUGGACCACCUGACAUCAAUUACCCACUUUGGAAGUCAUCGUUAUCACAGAGAUACACAUACUUUUUCCAGGCUAAGCUGUUUAUGUUUGACCAAUGUGUUCAAUAAAACUACACAUUUCUGUGUGGUAUUUUUUAAAUAACAGUGAUAAUGUAUUAUUAUGACUUGGAUGUAAAUCAGGAUGCAUUUUAGUCAGUUAUGCAGGUAAUUCAGAAGAACUUACAACCUUUUAUCGCAAAUGUACCUGUUAGCCACAAUAUUCCAAGUUUGAAAGCAAAUGGUUUUGAUGGCAUGGGGCCCAUAUGGAUACACAUGAUACAGUACACCAUUUCUUGGGUGUGGUUUUGGCUCAGCAGCAAGUCAAAACCUAGUCAGAGCAUCUAGAUCUUCU